Molecule: transfer RNA, 75 nt
Filed under: Bacteroidetes bacterium OLB9
Lineage: Bacteria; Pseudomonadati; Bacteroidota
Description: tRNA-Pro
Rfam family: tRNA
About the family: Transfer RNA (tRNA) molecules are approximately 80 nucleotides in length. Their secondary structure includes four short double-helical elements and three loops (D, anti-codon, and T loops).
Source: RNAcentral
CGGGAUGUAGCGCAGUCUGGUAGCGCACUAGCAUGGGGUGCUAGGGGUCGCUGGUUCGAAUCCAGUCAUCCCGAC